Molecule: ribosomal RNA, 455 nt
Filed under: uncultured bacterium
Lineage: Bacteria
Description: bacterial SSU rRNA
Rfam family: Bacterial small subunit ribosomal RNA
Source: RNAcentral
AUUGAACGCUGGCGGCGUGCCUAACACAUGCAAGUCGAGCGGUAACAGGUGUAGCAAUACAUGCUGACGAGCGGCGGACGGGUGAGUAACGCUUGGGAAUCUGCCUGUUAGUGGGGGACAACCCGGGGAAACUCGGGCUAAUACCGCAUACGCACUACGGUGGAAAGCCGGGGACCGCAAGGCCUGGCGCUAACAGAUGAGCCCAAGUCGGAUUAGCUAGUUGGUAGGGUAACGGCCACCAAGGCGACGAUCCGUAACUGGUCUGAGAGGACGACCAGUCACACCGGAACUGAGACACGGUCCGGACUCCUACGGGAGGCAGCAGUGGGGAAUAUUGGACAAUGGGCGAAAGCCUGAUCCAGCGACGCCGCGUGGGUGAAGAAGGCCUGCGGGUUGUAAAGCCCUUUCGGUGGGGAAGAAAAGCCUCGAGUUAACACCUCGGGGUCUUGACGUAA